AGAAGCUAUAAAAUUUGUAAACAAUUAGGAGUUUUUGCGUUGAAGAACAAAAUAUCUUGCAAAUCGACUCAAAUUAACCAACGAUGGAAACCGAGCUGCCCUCCACUAGUGCCAGCGCUUUAGCAGCUUGCAGUUCCAAUGCCAGUACCAGCGCACAGGUUCAGGAUUACACACAACUGACUCCAGAGUUACUGCAGCGAAAACUUUACUUUCUGGUUGACCAGUUGAAGCAGAUGCAUGCUCAGCUGCCAGAGUAAGUAUCAAAUACGUAUCUCCUAUGAGCUACUCACCGAGCUGGCUAAUUCCCUGCUAAACGAUACCAUUUUUGAGAUAGUCAAGGGACUAAUGGAAAUACAAAAUGUCACAGAAAGGCACCUGCUAACGCUGCGCAAGCAAAUUGAGACAGAUUUUGAGUUGGAAAUGCAAGAGUGGCGCAGUAAGAUAACCGAUCCAGAAGAAUUAAGCCAUAUCGAACAGCUUAUGCAAGUGAAACACGCAAAAAAGUUGCGUGAAACAGAUAUGAAAUUGAUAGCAUUGUUGGAUCAAAAGGUAAAAGACCAGCAGAGUACAUUGCUUAAGGCUGGCGUAGCGGGCUUCUAUGUCACUGACAAUCCAAGGGAAAUUAAAAUACAAAUGUUUCUGUUGGAUUUCAUCAUUCGUUUAAGCAGAAUUAAGUUUGAGCCAUAUAAAUAACAAGAGGAGUAAGACGUGGCCUUCACGUUUUACAAACAAUAGAUAUAUCGUCGUCGUCAGACCAUCAAACUCGCAAAGUAUGAGCGCUAAAUAAAGUACGACAACAACAAACAAUUGAGAGACCUCAUGUUGCUGAUGGGUAUAAAUAAAGCGC
RNAcentral lists this unclassified non-coding RNA (847 nucleotides) under Rhagoletis pomonella (apple maggot). Its description in RNAcentral is "gonadal protein gdl, transcript variant X1". The record is from RNAcentral. Lineage: Eukaryota; Metazoa; Arthropoda; Insecta; Diptera; Tephritidae.